UACGAAGGGGGCUAGCGUUGCUCGGAAUCACUGGGCGUAAAGGGUGCGUAGGCGGGUCUUUUAAGUCAGGGGUGAAAUCCUGGAGCUCAACUCCAGAACUGCCUUUGAUACUGAAGAUCUUGAGUCCGGGAGAGGUGAGUGGAACUGCGAGUGUAGAGGUGAAAUUCGUAGAUAUUCGCAAGAACACCAGUGGCGAAGGCGGCUUACUGGUCCGGAACUGACGCUGAGGUGCGAAAGCGUGGGGAGCAAACAGGG
This 255-nucleotide ribosomal RNA is filed under the name uncultured bacterium. Its description in RNAcentral is "partial 16S ribosomal RNA". It matches the Rfam family "Bacterial small subunit ribosomal RNA", at positions 524 to 777 of the family's 1533-position model. The record is from RNAcentral.